GACGAACGCUGGCGGCGUGGAUUAGGCAUGCAAGUCGAACGGUAGGAUACCUUCGGGUAUCUGAGAGUGGCGAACGGGUGAGUAACACGUAGGUGAUCCACCCUCAAGAUUGGGACAACCCAGGGAAACUUGGGCUAAUACCGGAUGAAAGCAGCAGUGAUGUUGUUUGAAAGGUGGCGUAAGCUGCCGUUUGGGGAUGAGCCUGCGCUCUAUUAGUUAGUUGGCGGGGUAAAGGCCCACCAAGGCGAUGAUAGAUAGGCGGCCUUAACGGGUGGUCGCCCACACUGGGAUUGAGAUACGGCCCAGACUCCUACGGGAGGCAGCAGUCGAGAAUAGUCUACAAUGGCCGAAAGGCUGAUAGUGCGACGCCGCGUGAACGAAGAAGCCCUUCGGGUGUAAGUUCUUUUAUAUGUGAGCAGUGCUUUCUAUGUGAACAGCAUGGGGAGAGAGAUAUUAGCAUAUGAAUAAGCAACGGCUAACUCCGUGCCAGCAGCCG
Molecule: ribosomal RNA, 496 nt
Filed under: uncultured bacterium
Lineage: Bacteria
Description: bacterial SSU rRNA
Rfam family: Bacterial small subunit ribosomal RNA
Source: RNAcentral